GUACUCACUUCGGUAGCACAUAUACUAAAAUUGGAACAAUACAGAGAAGAUUAGUGUGGCCCCUGUGCAAGGAUGACACUCAAAUUUGUGAAGUGUUCCAUAUUUAA
This 107-nucleotide small nuclear RNA is filed under the name Nannospalax galili (Upper Galilee mountains blind mole rat). The record is from RNAcentral. Lineage: Eukaryota; Metazoa; Chordata; Mammalia; Rodentia; Spalacidae.